RNAcentral lists this ribosomal RNA (253 nucleotides) under uncultured bacterium. RNAcentral describes it as "partial 16S ribosomal RNA". It matches the Rfam family "Bacterial small subunit ribosomal RNA", at positions 524 to 776 of the family's 1533-position model. The record is from RNAcentral.
UACGUAGGGUGCAAGCGUUAAUCGGAAUUACUGGGCGUAAAGCGUGCGCAGGCGGCUUUGUAAGUCUGUCGUGAAAUCCCCGGGCUCAACCUGGGAAUUGCGUUGGAGACUGCAAGGCUAGAAUCUGGCAGAGGGGGGUAGAAUUCCACGUGUAGCAGUGAAAUGCGUAGAGAUGUGGAGGAACACCGAUGGCGAAGGCAGCCCCCUGGGUCAAGAUUGACGCUCAUGCACGAAAGCGUGGGGAGCAAACAGG